CACAGGUUUAGUUGCUCCUUGCGUGCCACUCUCAGCUGACAGCCAGUUUGUUGGUACCGUGCUUUGACUCCUUCUUCCUCAUCUCCCAGGAGAAGCUUAGCCACGAGUUUGCAAUGGAGGGGGCACAUCCAUAGGCAAAGAUCGAGGACAGUGCCCUCGACGGCAUGCUGCUGGUGGCCUGAGUACUAUCGGUCAGUGAGGAGAAACACAUGUCGACCCCUUCUUGACAGGUAACAACUUCUUGGUGUCUCUCUCAUCUCCCCCACUCUCCCUUCCUUCCUCGCCAUCACAUCCCAAAUCAAGAGGCAAACCGUCGCAACCCCGUUCAAGUUAUUAUUUGUAUGCCACCACAUUCGGUCAGUCAAAAUUCAUACUUGGCAGGGCAUCUUCGAUGGCCCGUCUGCCUCAUCGGCGUACAACAGGGGUGCGGAGAGAUCCUGACCAGCUCAACAGACAACCCCACUCACUCCUUCUGCAACAUAAGAUUUCCAGGCAAACUCUAAUCUCCACUGCCAGUAAUUUGUUCUCUACUAUCACCAUCCAUCUCUCACUAUUCUCUAUGGUUCACGUAAAAGAGGUUUUUCUGCAUUGUUUAUUUGUAUUAGAUGAUUAUUAGUACAUUAGGAAGUUGUGGUAGCUUCCACACCCUUUAUAUGAACUCUGGGAGGAUUUUUAUUCAGAUGUGAUUUGCUUGACCUGUGCAGAUGUGUAGACCUUCCCCAUUUUAUCUCAAUAUAGCCCACUGUUUCUAAUUGGUAUUCAUUACAGUACUCUCGAGUUUGGUCAUUACAAUUGCCAUGUUUUACCAGCAUAAAUAAUUGCUUUUGUUGAUGUUUCCCCCUUCUGCCAUUGUUACCAUGCAUGUACUAUAAUUUUCAUUUGAACUAAUUUAUGAACGUGGAGCUCCUGAUUUGGUUUGACUGAGUCCCCUCUUUGGAACAAUCCAUCGCUACUACCUCAUGAUUAUGGUGUAUAUAUACGGCAAAUGUGUUUCUCUAUUUACAUUGGUAAAACAUGCAUUUAGUUGUACUGGCCAAGAAUAGUUCUCUGAUUAAUAAUGCUAUAGUUUGUUGUUGACUACUUCUACCUUCUUAUCUCUCAUGUUGUUUUACCAGUAUUCUUCCUUCUUAUCUCUCCUGUUGGUUUUGCUUCCUAGAACCACAAUUCUCAUUACAAAGCAUCUCUGUCUCUCUCUGACAGUUACUCUUUCCAUUGUCUUGGCUUGCAGGUCACCGCUUGAGUCAGACGAGGUCAUGGUUACCUUACCUGGUGAGUUACUGUCCAUGAAGACCACAAUCCACCAUCACCAUAUACCAGAUGGCGCCAUCAAGGACGUCGUCGUACUAACCGCCGAUGACCUAUAUCCUUUCUCUUUCCCUCAUAAUUUGCAGAAUGGAAGUGACCUGAAAGCCACUUGAAUGAAAUCCUGUGUCCUGGGAUGUGUCAAUGCCAUGAAUUAGAUCUCUGUAGUAUAUUUUUUGAUUGAAAUUUUUAUUGUGAUAUUGAGCAUGGUACAUUAGUGCAUGGAUUAGCAUUGCAGAAUGCAACUGUUCUGGUAUAUGAUGAUAUAUGUUUUGUGCAGACUAAGAAGGCUUUGUACUGAAUUUUUAUAGGCCACGCGUGACAAGCUGCCCUUACUAUGUUAUUAUUAAUCUUGAUGCUUUGUACAUUAUUUUUAUGCAAACCAGUUAUUUGCCUGGAUUGUCUUAUAUCGUAAAUCUUGAUGUCUUCUACUAGAUCUUGAUGCUCUCUAUCAAACCACUCCUGGAUUUUGAUGAUUUCUAUUGAUUCAUGUCCUGCUUUGUACAGUACUUUGUAUUGGAUUACAUCCUUGAUAAAUACCAGAUGGUGGAUCAUUCCUUUAG
Molecule: long non-coding RNA, 1865 nt
Filed under: Triticum aestivum (bread wheat)
Lineage: Eukaryota; Viridiplantae; Streptophyta; Magnoliopsida; Poales; Poaceae
Description: long non-coding RNA (TAES_LNC000523)
Source: RNAcentral